UGGGAUUUAGCUCAGCAGCAUAAGCACCUGCCUUGCAAGCAGGUGGUCGUGAGUUCAAUCAUCAGUACCAA
RNAcentral lists this transfer RNA (71 nucleotides) under Cavia porcellus (domestic guinea pig). It matches the Rfam family "tRNA". Rfam says of the family: Transfer RNA (tRNA) molecules are approximately 80 nucleotides in length. Their secondary structure includes four short double-helical elements and three loops (D, anti-codon, and T loops). Lineage: Eukaryota; Metazoa; Chordata; Mammalia; Rodentia; Caviidae. The record is from Rfam by way of RNAcentral.